GAUGAACGCUGGUGGCAUGCUUUACACAUGCAAGUCGAACGGCAGCACAGGGAGCUUGCUCCCGGGUGGCGAGUGGCGCACGGGUGAGUAAUACGUGAAGAACCUGCCUUACAGAGGGGGACAACAGUUGGAAACGACUGCUAAUACCGCAUAACAUUUGAGGGUGGCAUCACUCUUGAAUCAAAGGAGCAAUCCGCUGUAAGAUGGCUUCGCGUCCGAUUAGACAGUUGGCGGGGUAACGGCCCACCAAAUCUACGAUCGGUAGCCGGACUGAGAGGUUGAACGGCCACAUUGGGACUGGGACACGGCCCAG
This 313-nucleotide ribosomal RNA is filed under the name uncultured bacterium. RNAcentral describes it as "bacterial SSU rRNA". It matches the Rfam family "Bacterial small subunit ribosomal RNA", at positions 28 to 334 of the family's 1533-position model. The record is from RNAcentral.